This 753-nucleotide long non-coding RNA is filed under the name Parus major (Great Tit). RNAcentral's name for it is "lncRNA (ENSPMJG00000009496.1)". The record is from RNAcentral. Lineage: Eukaryota; Metazoa; Chordata; Aves; Passeriformes; Paridae.
CUCCAGGCAAGAAGAGGAAGUCUCUGCUCACCUCAUACUCUUUGUUCUGGCUCCCACUGCUUUCCUGACCAGACUGCCUGGCUCAGUGCCUGCAGAAAUGAGCAGAGCUGUAUAUUCUCUCUCCCAAAAACAAGAGGAGCACAGCGGCUCAGUUGUUACUCCUUUGUAGGUCUCUGGGGAGAGUGCACUUCCAGGCUUCCUCUUACUCAAAUUACAAGGUUGCCCUUCAUUCCCAAGAGCCAAGAAAAAAGCUCAGCUUACAUGUGGUAAAAAAGAACUUGUAAAAGUUAUUUUUGAAGGGGCAGUAAAAAAGUCAGUAUUUGCAGUGGCUACCCUUGAUGUUGCUACUGUAUUUGAAACAGCUGGAGUGUAGGUCCCCUCAUUGGACCCAGGGCUUCCUCAUGUGCAGUUUAAAUGUGAAGGGAUUCAGGCAAAAGGUUUGCUCUCUUUGAACUUUCCCUGCUAUCUAGAGGCACUAAAAAAGGCAAAGGAGCCAGCUGAGUGACUGCAGCAGUUCAUCUUCCACAGUGCUGCACGGGCACUCUGCAAUGCUGUGCUGUGGCAGAUGGCAGCAGGUGGGGAGAGAACAUGGGAGCAAAAAGGGGCUUGAGUGAAGCUUUCUUAGAAGAAAUCACAGCAUCAUUCCUGGGCUCUGAAAAGGCAGUGGGAUGCCUGCCUUUCUGUAGAGGCACAGAUAUUUGCAGUGGAGGAACCAGGAUGGGGCUGCUGCGGACGUGGAGCACAGCCCGUUGA